GAGAUAUGGAAUGCGAAAAUGCAUAUCAUCUUUAUCACAACUUAUAAUAAUACGAUACAAACGGAGUCAAAUCCCACAAUAGAUUCAUAUAGUACUCCAAACAUAUUAAACACACAAGAGAUAUUAUUCAAUUAGAAACCAAACUAAGAGUAAAAAAAAGUACAAACCAAACUCAUAAUUUUCGAUCCACAAAGAAAUACAAUAGAGCAAAUAACACUACAAAUGAACACCCUUAACACUUGAUGGUGGCACUUUCUUCCAAAUAACUUUAACAAGAUCAAUAUAUAAAGGAAGUUGCACUGCUGCAUAGAAUAUGACAGGAAAGCUAAAGACAAUAUAUAAAUAGAACAAGAUAUCAUGUUUACCAU
Molecule: long non-coding RNA, 368 nt
Filed under: Trifolium pratense (red clover)
Lineage: Eukaryota; Viridiplantae; Streptophyta; Magnoliopsida; Fabales; Fabaceae
Description: long non-coding RNA (TPRA_LNC005233)
Source: RNAcentral